RNAcentral lists this ribosomal RNA (493 nucleotides) under uncultured bacterium. Its description in RNAcentral is "bacterial SSU rRNA". It matches the Rfam family "Bacterial small subunit ribosomal RNA", at positions 30 to 512 of the family's 1533-position model. The record is from RNAcentral.
AUUGAACGCUGGCGGCAUGCCUUACACAUGCAAGUCGAACGGUAACAGGGAGCUUGCUCCGCUGACGAGUGGCGAACGGGUGAGUAAUGUAUCGGAACGUACCAUUCAGUGGGGGAUAACGUAGCGAAAGUUACGCUAAUACCGCAUAUUCUGUGAGCAGGAAAGCAGGGGAUCGCAAGACCUUGCGCUGAUUGAGCGGCCGAUAUCAGAUUAGCUAGUUGGUGAGGUAAAGGCUCACCAAGGCGACGAUCUGUAGCGGGUCUGAGAGGAUGAUCCGCCACACUGGAACUGAGACACGGUCCAGACUCCUACGGGAGGCAGCAGUGGGGAAUUUUGGACAAUGGGGGCAACCCUGAUCCAGCCAUGCCGCGUGAGUGAAGAAGGCCUUCGGGUUGUAAAGACUCUUUCGGCCGGGAAGAAAUACGCGCAGGUUAAUAACCUGUGUGGAGUGACGGUACCGGAAGUAAGAAGCACCGGCUAACUACGUGCCACG